This is a long non-coding RNA of Mya arenaria, 468 nucleotides long. RefSeq lists it as uncharacterized. The transcript has 3 exons. Lineage: Eukaryota; Metazoa; Mollusca; Bivalvia; Myida; Myidae. The record is from RefSeq and is a predicted model, not a curated record.
UAAAAGUUAAAAUGCUUUUGGAACAUUUACAAGGCGAUUUAGGUUCUCAUUAUUCCUUUUUUUGUAAAAUGACGUGUUGGUAUCCACUUUGAAUAACACUGAUACAAGCACAUCAAACAGUUACGGUACUUGGCCAGAUUGAAAGUUAGAAAUUGCAACCAAAACAAUUAAAUAGCAAGGAUUUAUUUUUAAUGAAUGUCGAUAUUUAGAUUGGAUAUAAUUCGAUACUAUACCAUGGAGGGAAACGUAAUAGUUCUCGAGAGAUAAAAAGAACGAAGUUUGUAGUCGUAUGAGCCGCUCAUAUUUCACCUGGUCCUCCAGUCCCGGCUUGAGAGCGAAAGCCAGAGUUUGAUUGGGGUAACGAGUUUAAAGUACCAGAUACUUUGACGUUUCACUGUUACUGCCAUUUCCAGUGGUUACACGGUUGGACAUGUUUUGAUGUGUAAAUGACAAAAUAAAAUAUCGAAC